This 403-nucleotide ribosomal RNA is filed under the name uncultured bacterium. RNAcentral's name for it is "bacterial SSU rRNA". It matches the Rfam family "Bacterial small subunit ribosomal RNA", at positions 355 to 774 of the family's 1533-position model. The record is from RNAcentral.
UAGGGAAUAUUGCAAAAUGGGCGAAAGCCCGAUGCUGCAACGCCGCGUGGGCGAUGAAGGCCUUCGGGUCGUAAAGCCCUUUUUGAGGGGAUGAGGAAGGACAGUACCCUCAGAAUAAGCCUCGGCUAACUACGUGCCAGCAGCCGCGGUAAAACGUAGGGUGCGAGCGUUAAUCGGAAUUACUGAGCGUAAAGCGUGCGCAGGCGGUUUUGUAAGACAGAUGUGAAAUCCCCGGGCUUAACCUGGGAACUGCGUUUGUGACUGCAAGGCUGGAGUACGGCAGAGGGGGGUGGAAUUCCACGUGUAGCAGUGAAAUGCGUAGAAAUGUGGAGGAACACCGAUGGCGAAGGCAGCCCCCUGGGCCUGUACUGACGCUCAUGCACGAAAGCGUGGGGAGCAAACA